UCUACGGGAGGCAGCAGUGGGGAAUUUUGGACAAUGGGCGAAAGCCUGAUCCAGCCAUGCCGCGUGCAGGAUGAAGGCCUUCGGGUUGUAAACUGCUUUUGUACGGAACGAAAAGACUCUGGUUAAUACCUGGGGUCCAUGACGGUACCGUAAGAAUAAGCACCGGCUAACUACGUGCCAGCAGCCGCGGUAAUACGUAGGGUGCAAGCGUUAAUCGGAAUUACUGGGCGUAAAGCGUGCGCAGGCGGUUAUAUAAGACAGAUGUGAAAUCCCCGGGCUCAACCUGGGAACUGCAUUUGUGACUGUAUAGCUAGAGUACGGCAGAGGGGGAUGGAAUUCCGCGUGUAGCAGUGAAAUGCGUAGAUAUGCGGAGGAACACCGAUGGCGAAGGCAAUCCCCUGGGCCUGUACUGACGCUCAUGCACGAAAGCGUGGGGAGCAAACAGGAUUAGAUACCCUGGUAGUCCACGCCCUAAACGAUGUCAACUGGUUGUUGGGUCUUCACUGACUCAGUACGAAGCUAACGCGUGAAGUUGACCGCCUGGGGAGUCGGCCACAAGGUUGAAACUCAAAGAGAGUAGAGNGNGAGAGAGCGACGGACGACGACGGAGGGAGGAGG
RNAcentral lists this ribosomal RNA (618 nucleotides) under uncultured bacterium. Its description in RNAcentral is "bacterial SSU rRNA". It matches the Rfam family "Bacterial small subunit ribosomal RNA", at positions 338 to 951 of the family's 1533-position model. The record is from RNAcentral.